This 1016-nucleotide ribosomal RNA is filed under the name uncultured bacterium. RNAcentral's name for it is "bacterial SSU rRNA". It matches the Rfam family "Bacterial small subunit ribosomal RNA", at positions 357 to 1376 of the family's 1533-position model. The record is from RNAcentral.
AGGAAUAUUGGUCAAUGGGCGAGAGCCUGAACCAGCCAAGUAGCGUGAAGGAUGACUGCCCUAUGGGUUGUAAACUUCUUUUAUAAAGGAAUAAAGUCGGGUAUGUAUACCCGUUUGCAUGUACUUUAUGAAUAAGGAUCGGCUAACUCCGUGCCAGCAGCCGCGGUAAUACGGAGGAUCCGAGCGUUAUCCGGAUUUAUUGGGUUUAAAGGGAGCGUAGAUGGAUGUUUAAGUCAGUUGUGAAAGUUUGCGGCUCAACCGUAAAAUUGCAGUUGAUACUGGAUAUCUUGAGUGCAGUUGAGGCAGGCGGAAUUCGUGGUGUAGCGGUGAAAUGCUUAGAUAUCACGAAGAACUCCGAUUGCGAAGGCAGCCUGCUAAGCUGCAACUGACAUUGAGGCUCGAAAGUGUGGGUAUCAAACAGGAUUAGAUACCCUGGUAGUCCACACGGUAAACGAUGAAUACUCGCUGUUUGCGAUAUACGGCAAGCGGCCAAGCGAAAGCGUUAAGUAUUCCACCUGGGGAGUACGCCGGCAACGGUGAAACUCAAAGGAAUUGACGGGGGCCCGCACAAGCGGAGGAACAUGUGGUUUAAUUCGAUGAUACGCGAGGAACCUUACCCGGGCUUAAAUUGCAGAUGAAUUACGGUGAAAGCCGUAAGCCGCAAGGCAUCUGUGAAGGUGCUGCAUGGUUGUCGUCAGCUCGUGCCGUGAGGUGUCGGCUUAAGUGCCAUAACGAGCGCAACCCUUGUUGUCAGUUACUAACAGGUUUUGCUGAGGACUCUGACAAGACUGCCAUCGUAAGAUGUGAGGAAGGUGGGGAUGACGUCAAAUCAGCACGGCCCUUACGUCCGGGGCUACACACGUGUUACAAUGGGGGGUACAGAGGGCCGCUACCACGCGAGUGGAUGCCAAUCCCCAAAACCUCUCUCAGUUCGGACUGGAGUCUGCAACCCGACUCCACGAAGCUGGAUUCGCUAGUAAUCGCGCAUCAGCCACGGCGCGGUGAAUACGUUCCCG